CAACCCAAAGGCUUUCCGAGAGAUUCGAGAGACAUGGUUCAACUAAUGGUGCACUAUCCUUCUCCCAAACAUUUCUCAGCGAAACCACUGAGUACAACUUAUUAAACGGAAACUACGAACAAGAUCUUAGCGCUGUCUCAACCAUCCACAGCUCAAGGGAUUAAUGUGCUGUUUUUUAUGCUGGAGUCAUGAAUCGCCUCUUUGCACAAUUUGUUUCUAAUCAACCCUUUUUCCGUGUUCCUCUUUUUAGUAGAAAGCGAAAUGAGAAUAAUGAGAAUCGUAAUAGUAGUUCCACGCCCCCUCUCGCCCCUUAAACCAACCAAAAAGAAGAAGGCGCUUUCCGAAAACGAUCAAGGCAGGGAUUUCCGGUAGUCAUCUAUCGCGACAAUGGAUCAACCCGAUUUCCAAGCUAGAAGAAAAAAAAAUUCAAACUUGGAAAGACAGAUCUCGCUCAAAAAAAGUGGAACUCCAACCAUUCUCCUUAUGGAAACCGCUUGCCACCGGGAUCAGCAAGUUGCCCUUUCAUUUUGCUUCGGCAAUAGAUCAAAAUAGAGGCAACAAAG
Molecule: unclassified non-coding RNA, 563 nt
Filed under: Hevea brasiliensis (rubber tree)
Lineage: Eukaryota; Viridiplantae; Streptophyta; Magnoliopsida; Malpighiales; Euphorbiaceae
Source: RNAcentral